CUAAUGUUGACUUGUGUAUAUGAAGAUCUGCACCAUUUUAUCACAGCCUUUGGAGGAAGCAGUUGCAGGAAGCCCAUAUAUUGAAGGCGACUUAGGAAUUAUUUUUCCAAGAAAAAAGUUACCAAACCUGUGUUCGAAUGGAACUUGGAGACCAAAUGUGCUUGGGCAGGUCCUGAACAACGCAACUGUGAACCUCUGAUUGAAGAAACAAUGGCAAUCAGGAUUGCACUGGCUAAAGCAAAGUUGGAAGGGUGGAGAUUCAGACAGAUUGUAAAGUAGCAGUGGAGAGAAUUAUAUUGGGAAACACUGCUGACCCAAAGAUUGGAUAUUCAGGUGCUGCAGAGGGAAUUUAGAGAGUGUUACUUCUCUUUUGUUCGAAGAGAGGGUAACCAUCAUGUUAGUCACAAGUUGAGAAAGUAUGUCGUUAACUUGAUUAGUGAAAUUAAGUAGAAGGACUUCUUCCCUCUCUGGUUAGUUACUUUAGCUAGAGCAGAUGUAGGGGCAGUUGCUCCAAAUUAGCAACAGCUUUCGGUUUUUAAAUAAAAUGUUAUCGUUGGAAAACCUAAAAAAAAAAAUGAAUGGAACUUGGAGAAGUAAUUUACCCA
Coffea arabica (coffee) is the source of this 605-nucleotide long non-coding RNA. RefSeq lists it as uncharacterized. Lineage: Eukaryota; Viridiplantae; Streptophyta; Magnoliopsida; Gentianales; Rubiaceae. The record is from RefSeq and is a predicted model, not a curated record.